AGAGUUUGAUCAUGGCUCAGGACGAACGCUGGCGGCGUGCUUAACACAUGCAAGUCGAGCGGAAAGGCCUUUCGGGGUACUCGAGCGGCGAACGGGUGAGUAACACGUGAGUAACCUGCCCUAGGCUUUGGGAUAACCCUCGGAAACGGGGGCUAAUACCGAAUAUUCAUUCCUGACGGCAUCGUUGGGUUUGGAAAGUUUUUCGGCCUGGGAUGGGCUCGCGGCCUAUCAGCUUGUUGGUGGGGUGAUGGCCUACCAAGGCGACGACGGGUAGCCGGCCUGAGAGGGCGACCGGCCACACUGGGACUGAGACACGGCCCAGACUCCUACGGGAGGCAGCAGUGGGGAAUAUUGCACAAUGGGCGGAAGCCUGAUGCAGCGACGCCGCGUGAGGGAUGAAGGCCUUCGGGUUGUAAACCUCUUUCGACAGGGACGAAGCGCAAGUGACGGUACCUGGAGAAGAAGCGCCGGCCAACUACGUGCCAGCAGCCGCGGUAAGACGUAGGGCGCGAGCGUUGUCCGGAUUUAUUGGGCGUAAAGAGCUCGUAGGCGGCUUGUUGCGUCAGCUGUGAAAACCCGCAGCUCAACUGUGGGCUUGCAGCUGAUACGGGCAGGCUUGAGUUCGGUAGGGGAGACUGGAAUUCCUGGUGUAGCGGUGAAAUGCGCAGAUAUCAGGAGGAACACCGGUGGCGAAGGCGGGUCUCUGGGCCGAUACUGACGCUGAGGAGCGAAAGCGUGGGGAGCGAACAGGAUUAGAUACCCUAGUAGUCC
RNAcentral lists this ribosomal RNA (771 nucleotides) under uncultured bacterium. RNAcentral's name for it is "bacterial SSU rRNA". It matches the Rfam family "Bacterial small subunit ribosomal RNA", at positions 8 to 796 of the family's 1533-position model. The record is from RNAcentral.